UGGUCCCAGCCUUCAAAUCAGUUCUUACUUAAUAUACACAUGCAAGUCUCCGCACCCCCGUGAAAACGCCCUUAAAUCCCCACAGGGAUAAGGAGCUGGUAUCAGGCUCAACUUAAGCCCAAGACACCUAGCCAUGCCACACCCACAAGGGAACUCAGCAGUGAUUAACAUUGACAAUGAGCGCAAGCUUGAUUCAGUCAAAGUAAAAUAGAGCCGGCAAAUACUGUGUGCCAGCCGCCGCGGCUACACCACGAGGCUCAAAUUGAUUACUACCGGCGUAAAGCGUGAUUAAAGCUUAUUUAAACUGUAGUUAAACUAAAACUAAGCCGUUGUACGCUUGUUUAAUUGAAACCCAAAAACGAAAGUUACUACAACAUAAUCAACUUGAACUCACGACAGCUAAGAAACAAACUGGGAUUAGAUACCUCACUAUGCUUAGCCUUAAACUUUAACUUACAUUCAAACCGCCAGGGGAUUACGAGCAAAGCUUAAAACCCAAGGGACUUGACGGUACCCCACAUCCACCUAGAGGAGCCUGUCCUAUAAUUGAUAAUCCCCGUUUAACCUCACCACUUUUAGCCUACUCAGCCUGUAUACCUCCGUCGUCAGCUUACCACGUGAGCGCCCCCAGUGAGCACGAUGUCCACUCGUCAAAACGUCAGGUCAAGGUGCAGCUUAUAAAGUGGGAAGAGAUUGGCUACACUCUCUAACUUAGAAAACACGAAAGACUAUUUAUGAAACCUAGUCAGAAGGCGGAUUUAGCAGUAAACGGGGAUAAGAAAGCCCCCUUUAAUCAGGCACUGGGGUGUGUACACACCGCCCGUCACCCUCUUCAAUACCAAAAAACUAGUAUUUAACCCAAUCCAGACAAAUAAGAAGAGGCAAGUCGUAACAUGGUAAGUAUACCGGAAGGUGUGCUUGGAAA
Molecule: non-coding RNA, 925 nt
Filed under: Scinax caissara
Lineage: Eukaryota; Metazoa; Chordata; Amphibia; Anura; Hylidae
Description: partial 12S small subunit ribosomal RNA
Rfam family: Bacterial small subunit ribosomal RNA
Source: RNAcentral